This 275-nucleotide ribosomal RNA is filed under the name uncultured bacterium. RNAcentral describes it as "partial 16S ribosomal RNA". It matches the Rfam family "Bacterial small subunit ribosomal RNA", at positions 399 to 691 of the family's 1533-position model. The record is from RNAcentral.
GCGUGAGUGAUGAAGGCCUUAGGGUUGUAAAGCUCUUUCGCGCGCGACGAUAAUGACGGUAGCGCGAGAAGAAGCCUCGGCUAACUCCGUGCCAGCAGCCGCGGUAAGACGGAGGAGGCUAGCGUUGUUCGGAAUUACUGGGCGUAAAGCGCACGUAGGCGGUAACGUAAGUCGGGGGUGAAAGCCCGGGGCUUAACCCUGGAAUUGCCCUCGAGACUGCGUUGCUUGAGUGUGGAAGAGGAGAGCGGAAUUCCCAGUGUAGAGGUGAAAUUCGU